AUUGAACGCUGGCGGCAGGCCUAACACAUGCAAGUCGAACGGUAGCACAGGGGAGCUUGCUCCCUGGGUGACGAGUGGCGGACGGGUGAGUAAUGUCUGGGAAACUGCCCGAUGGAGGGGGAUAACUACUGGAAACGGUAGCUAAUACCGCAUAACGUCUUCGGACCAAAGUGGGGGACCUUCGGGCCUCACACCAUCGGAUGUGCCCAGAUGGGAUUAGCUAGUAGGUGGGGUAAUGGCUCACCUAGGCGACGAUCCCUAGCUGGUCUGAGAGGAUGACCAGCCACACUGGAACUGAGACACGGUCCAGACUCCUACGGGAGGCAGCAGUGGGGAAUAUUGCACAAUGGGCGCAAGCCUGAUGCAGCCAUGCCGCGUGUAUGAAGAAGGCCUUCGGGUUGUAAAGUACUUUCAGCGGGGAGGAAGGCGAUGCGGUUAAUAACCGCGUCGAUUGACGUUACCCGCAGAAGAAGCACCGGCUAACUCCGUGCCAGCAGCCGCGGUAA
This 506-nucleotide ribosomal RNA is filed under the name uncultured bacterium. RNAcentral's name for it is "partial 16S ribosomal RNA". It matches the Rfam family "Bacterial small subunit ribosomal RNA", at positions 30 to 523 of the family's 1533-position model. The record is from RNAcentral.